UACGAAGGGUGCAAGCGUUGUUCGGAAUUACUGGGCGUAAAGCACGCGUAGGCGGCUUGAUAAGUUGGGAGUGAAAUCCCGGGGCUUAACUCCGGAAUUGCUUUCAAAACUAUUAAGCUAGAGUAUGGCAGGGGACAGUGGAAUUCCUAGUGUAGAGGUGAAAUUCGUAGAUAUUAGGAGGAACACCAGUGGCGAAAGCGACUGUCUGGACCAUUACUGACGCUGAGGCGUGAAAGCGUGGGGAGCAAACAGG
This 253-nucleotide ribosomal RNA is filed under the name uncultured bacterium. RNAcentral describes it as "partial 16S ribosomal RNA". It matches the Rfam family "Bacterial small subunit ribosomal RNA", at positions 524 to 776 of the family's 1533-position model. The record is from RNAcentral.